GUCUGUCCCCUACCGCUCCAUGGACCCUGGGCUUUCUGCUGGUGGGCUCCAGGCUCUGCCUUUUCCACGGGGAAGGGAUGCUGUGUGAUGUCAGAAUGACGCCAUUGCUUGUUACUAUGGAGACAGGGUUAGUGUGGCCGCAAAUCGAUGGUAUUGGCCUCCGGACUGUAUCCCACAGUGCACCACUGACCGCUCUGGACAGCUAUCUGAACUCGGAUGCACUGGCCAGGUAGACAGGAAAAGCCCCGCGAACUUUUGAAUUUCAUUUCCUGUUUGGCCAGCAUGGAGAGCUCACCAGCACAGGUGACCACACAGAGCUCAUCAGCACAGGUAACAAUGCAGUCUCCUGAGAAUAGAAAAAGAGCUCCAGCAUGGACCACACGGGACGUACUGGGUCUGAUCACUAUAUGGGGAGAGGAUUCCGUGCUAACAGAACUCCGUUCAAAAAGACGAAAUGAAAAAACUUUUGAAAAAAUUUCCAAGACCGUGAAGGAGAGAGGCCACACCAGGGACUCAGUGCAGUGCAGAGUGAAAGUGAAGGAGCUCAGACAAGCCUACCAGAAAACCAAAGAGGCAAACGGAAGGUCUGGGGCAGGGGCGAAAACAUGCCGCUUCUACGCUGAGCUGCAUGCAAUUUUAGGGGGCUGCGCCACCACUACCCCGCCCCCCCGUCCUUGGAUUCCGUGGUGGGGGUUGUAAUCUCAGCCAUGCCUGAGGAUUAUGCGGACGGGGAAGGUGAGGAGGAGGAAAAGGAGAACGAGCUUGAAGAGAGCACACAGCACUCUGUUAGCCCCAACAGCCAGGAGCUUUUUCUGACCCGGACGGAAUUACCGUCCCAGCCUUCCCAAGCCACUAGCCCAGACAGUGAAGCCAUGGAAGCGACCUCUGGUGCCUUACAAACAUUAACUCAUUCAUUCAGGAGCUUCCUCUGAAAAAGUAUCUCCUUCUGCUGAACAAGCAUUAAAACAGAGACACUCUUGUGUGUGCAUCUCUUUACCUAUUGUUAUGUUGACUUAUUUACAUAGUGCCAAGUGUGUGAAAGAUGAGCUUUACAGACAUGUAUGAAGACAAAGUCCUGGGAGGAAGUGAUUUUUCUGUUCUAUGCUGGCUGUUGCUGGAUCCUACAAAGUCUUGGCUUAAAGUUUUCAAAAUCAUUGCUUUAAAGGUGAGAAAAAGCAUGUCAAGCAAAUUAAUGCUGACAUUUAAAAUGUUUAAUUAAGCUAAAUGUUAUAUUCAGGACAAAAUGUUUUUCAUUUCUAUGACAUGGUCCACGUGCAGGAUUUUCAGAAGUGAAAAGGUAAUGGGGACCAAUGAUUUAUUUUUUAGUGUUUAACAAAACACCAAAAGCAACAUACAGUUUUCUUUAAUUUUAUAUAGCAAUGUAUUGCCUAUAUUUGAAGGAUCUAUGUUUAAAUUAUUGCACUUGAUGUCUACAUAUAGCACAUUAUAAAUUAUAUGAAGGGAGGUUGUGAGAAGAAAAAAUAUACAUUAAAAUAGACGUUCUUUUAGGUUGUAUCCCCCAAAAUAGGUUUGUGUAGUAUCAGGAAUCAAAGGAAUCUCAAGACAAAUUUUAAGGGCUCCCCAAAUUCUAUAAAUUAAGGAGGCACUUGGAGAGAAUCUCCUCCUUAGCAGAUGACAGAACUAGGAAGGUUACUCUGAAUCUGUUCUGCAUGUAUAAGGAUGACGUAGUAAAUAUUAGAACAUAAUCUGAAAUGCAAACUGCUAUUAAUCCACUAAACAAAUUUACCAGCUAAUGUCCAAACAAAUGGUUUAAAAAAUAGAGGUAGGAAGAAAGUACCUUAGUUUAGCCACUAGAGGUCUCUUUGUGUCUGUGUUUAUUCUCUCAACUGGUAAAGAUAUGUCUGCGAAGGCCAGUUCUCCAGACAUUUUAGAUUAAAAAAAUACCAAUCCAUGUCUUACUCCUCUCCCCACAAAAAAUCUUGGAAGCAUUAUGUUGGUAUAGGCCUUUUAAUACUAAAGCUUUACAUUAAAACCUUCUGUAGUAGAACAAAUCUUGAUGAAAUAAAGAAGGAAGUGACUAAGCAUUCUUCCUGUCUCACAUAGAGGAAGGUGUUUUUCCUGGAAGAGAUAUUCUGCCGAAUUAAUGUACAAUAGUUAUUGUACAAAGUACAACAACAAUAUGAUACUGAGACUGAUUGAGCAGCCAAACAUAAAUAAUCCUGCACUCCAAAGUGAUCAAGUGAUGUUCGCUACACCAUCCGAAUAGUGGAUUUUAAUCUGCUAUACUAGCUUUGAAGGUUCAGAGAAGUGAAAACAUCCAUCAUGCCUUUCAUUGCGCAGGGUUUUCAGUAUGGAGUUGUGGGUGGAUAUGUGCAUGAAUUCCUUCCUGAUUUCACUACUCCUAUAUAGGGACAAAGUCUGUCCUCAGACAUACAUGUAUCUGAAAGCAGGGGAAACUGAUCUUAAAAAUCUGAGAGACUGAACCAAAGCCCAUUUAAAUCAAUGUGAAUUUUCCAUUUACUUAAUGGGACUUCAGAUCAGGCCCUGAGAGCAGAAAUUUGCUCUGCUCUAUAUGCUAAGAUGAUCAGGUCAUUUAAAAAAUCUAAAUACAGCCUUUGACUGCAGGAGCACUUCUGUCCCAACAAACCCAGCAAUAUGGCUUUGCUGCCUGGUCACCCAGCCAUUGGGCUAUAAUUUUUAGGUCCUUGCAGUUCUUCAGGGGAUUGACUGGAAAGGAAAGCCCCUUUCAAUCCAGUAUAUGGAGCCACCACAAGAACAGAAAAGAAUCAGCAAUGCUAAGUAAGACUCUUACGUUUGGGUUGGUUAUGCCCAUUUAAGGACUGACUAGUCCUCAAAUGUUCUGAGUUUCCAGGCUGUUGUUCAGAGUCCCCAUGGCACUGAAAGAUUCACAGCUCUGGCUGUGUCACUCCUUCCUGUAAGAACAUGUGGGACAGGGACUGUUACUUGCUAUAAAUGUGUACAGUGAGUAGCACAGUGGUGCAUCAAGCUUUAUGCCUCUAGGCAAUACUGUACAAAUAUUAAAUAAUCCUUACAAUCCACUGUACUUCUAUGAAGAAUAAAGAUAUGAUGCUACGCACCUUCAUCAAUGGAGUUCAAGUGUGUUACAUUAAGUCUCACAGUUCCCCUGUGAGUUAGGGCUAUAUCAUCUGUAUUUUAUAGAGAGGCAAAGUGACUUGCCCAAGAACCUAUAGAAAGUCAUUGGCAGAGAGAGUUACAGAAACUGGGAAUCCUAUCUGCUAGUCACCUGUUCUAACCACUAGACAAUACUGCCUCACAACACAAACUACUCAGUAGACAAUCUUGCCUACGAAGAAAAACAUGUACAUUUCUGUAAGUGUGCUUACCUGGUCUGGAUUUCAGUCCCUUGUUCUGUAAGCAUUUUCCUGACCAACAAAUGCUGUUAAUGGCCUUUGCUGGAUUAAUGCAAGCAUAUCAACAACAAUAAAAGAUGAACGGGGAAAGAAAACACUGUAUUAGGAGAUAGAGUAAAACAAGAUUUCCUGUAAGUGUGCUGGUUAGUUGCCUAAAAAGCACUUAAUACUAAAUAAAAAAAAUAAACAAAACGUAAAUUCUCAUCCUUUUUACUGACUAAUUCAGCUGUGAGUCCAUCAACCUAGUGCUGCAGAAUUUACAGAAGGGAAGGGGAGGAAGGAAGUCUUUUCUAGGUCAACUCCAUUUUUGAUGGCUGAUUGUAUUAGGUAGGAGGAGAAUCAUUUGUAAA
Molecule: long non-coding RNA, 3703 nt
Organism: Gopherus flavomarginatus (Mexican gopher tortoise)
Lineage: Eukaryota; Metazoa; Chordata; Testudines; Testudinidae
Exons: 3
Source: RefSeq, a predicted model, not a curated record